Symphalangus syndactylus (siamang) is the source of this 1848-nucleotide long non-coding RNA. RefSeq lists it as uncharacterized. Lineage: Eukaryota; Metazoa; Chordata; Mammalia; Primates; Hylobatidae. The record is from RefSeq and is a predicted model, not a curated record.
UUGCAUGCAUGCUUAACCCUAACCGAAUCCUCAGACCUGAAGGGCAGUGUGACAGAGACAGUGAUGCUUACCACUUGCUCCCCGAAAUUUCCCAGCCACCCUGUAUCAGCUGAAGCCAGGUCACCAGCUCUGGCAAAGGGGCUGAGGUGGGAGUGAUGUGGGUGACUUCCUGGCUGGAGCACAGAAGAGCCUAUGUGUGACAUUCAGCUGCCCUUUCACCUGCCAUGGCAACCGCCCAAGCCUGGUGUUGAGACAGUGGAGCCAUGAGAUCAAAACAGCCUGGACUGCUGGGUCAAGCAGAGGACGAACUCCCUGAAGGGUCCCCUGGACUCCGGUGAGCAAGAGCACACGGAAUUGUCUGCAUGGAUGGUCAGUCAUCUUUUUCCAGUGUGGAGACUGCUCAGUGUUCACCAAACCCAUUUCCUUCUCUUGUGUGGCAUGUGGCACCCUGUGGUUGGGUGUGGCUGUGCUGCUGAGCCCCACCCAUGCAGCGUGAUCUUCCUCACUCUCUCUCUUCCUCCUCUACCCACCACACACUGAGGAACCAGAAGAGGACUCCACUGGGGGUGCCCAAGCCUCAAGAUGGCAGAAGCCAGGCGCCUGAACUGGGCCUUAAGUGCAGUGACUCCAGCGCCUGGCUUCUCCCAUGUGGGCAGGGCCCCCACGCUAGACCCUACACAAGUGAGAUAAACGGUGCUGGGCCACUCAGCUGCUGAAGCCAUUUCCCAGAGCAGCCAUCUACUCACCCCAGCAUACUAAACAAAUGCCCAGGUGGCCCACACAACACUUACCAGGGUAAGGACAACAUAGAAUUCUGGAGGAUUUUAUAUCCCUCAAGAGACUAACACGUUCACACUCUUUGACCCUGUAAUUCCAUUUCUGAGAAUAUACCCUAAAAAAUAGUUUGAUUCGUGAAGGUCUAUGUGUACAAGGAUGUCUAGUAUUAUUUAAAAUAGUGGAAAAUAGGAUUCUAGGAAAAAGGUAAUAAAAUUUUAAAAAUAAAAAAAAACUUCAGGAAAGGAUUCUAGGAAAAAAAUAAAAUUUAAAAAAUAAUAAGUAAUAAUAAAAUAGUGGAAAACACUAAAACAAUCUAAACAUCUAAAAAAUAAUUACAGUAAACCUAUAGGAUUAAAUAUCUUAGCCAGGUGCAGUGGCCCAUGCCUGUAAUCCCAGCACUCUGGGAGGCUGAGGUGGAUGGAUCCCCUGAGGUCAAGAGUUCAAGACCAGCCUGGCCAAGAUGGCAAAACCCUGUCUCUACUAAAAAUACAAAAAUUAGCCAGGCGUGGUGGUGCAUGUCUGUAAUCCCAGUACUCAGGACGCUGAGGAAGGAGAAUCACUUGAACCCAGGAGGUGGAGACUGCAGUGAGCUGGGAUCGCACCACUGCACUCCAGCCUGGGUGACAAAACGAGAUUCUGCCUCAAAAAUAAGUAAGGGUUGGGCGCGGUGACUCAUGCCUGUAAUCCCAGCACUUUGGGAGGCCGAGGCGGGUGGGCCACCUGAGGUCAGGUGUUCGAGACCAGCCUGGCCAACAUGGUGAAAACCCGUCUCUACUAAAAAUACAAAAAGAUUAGAAGGGUGUGGUAGCAUGCAUCUGUAGUCCCAGCUACGUGGGAUGCUGAGGCACGAGAAUCGCUUGAAUCCGGGAGGCAGAGGUUGCAGUGAGCCAAGAUCACGUGACAACACUCCAGCCUGGGUGACAGUGAGAUUCCGUCUCAAAAAUAAAUAAUAAAUAAAACAAAUAAAUAUCUUACAGCCAUUGGGAAGUUGUGGCUUUGAAAUCUAAAAUAACAAAAACCACAACAUAAUAAAUAAAAACCGCAACAGCUCACCUGUGUGUAAGUAUGGCA